GUGGGGAAUAUUGCACAAUGGGGGAAACCCUGAUGCAGCCAUGCCGCGUGUGUGAAGAAGGCCUUCGGGUUGUAAAGCACUUUCAGCGAGGAGGAAAGGUUGAUGCCUAAUACGUAUCAGCUGUGACGUUACUCGCAGAAGAAGCACCGGCUAACUCCGUGCCAGCAGCCGCGGUAAUACGGAGGGUGCAAGCGUUAAUCGGAAUUACUGGGCGUAAAGCGCACGCAGGCGGUUGGAUAAGUUAGAUGUGAAAGCCCCGGGCUCAACCUGGGAAUUGCAUUUAAAACUGUCCAGCUAGAGUCUUGUAGAGGGGGGUAGAAUUCCAGGUGUA
Molecule: ribosomal RNA, 331 nt
Filed under: uncultured Aeromonas sp.
Lineage: Bacteria; Pseudomonadati; Pseudomonadota; Gammaproteobacteria; Aeromonadales; Aeromonadaceae
Description: bacterial SSU rRNA
Rfam family: Bacterial small subunit ribosomal RNA
Source: RNAcentral